Non-coding RNA from Pseudonaja textilis, 3116 nucleotides. The record is from RefSeq and is a predicted model, not a curated record. Lineage: Eukaryota; Metazoa; Chordata; Lepidosauria; Squamata; Elapidae.
CCUUGCGACAUGGAAGCCGCGAUGGCAACGGGCGCUGGGCCGGCGGGGCUUACGGCAGCUGGGCCACGGGGACGCGAGGGCGCUGCUGAGGCGACGGCGGCGGGCGGCCUCCCUCAGUCUCCCGCCGCCGCCGCCUUCCUCAGCCUCCCGACGCCUUUCGAGGAAGAAGAUGAAGAUGAUAGGCACAAAUGUGGUCGCUGCCAGUCCGAGUUCACUUCUUUGGAAGAAUUUGUGCAGCACAAGCUGCAGAAGAUUUGCCAGAGACCUCAGGAUGCAACCGCAGCAGCAACCCCGGUGAUUUCGCCAGUUGAAGCAGCUAUAACUGUAGCUCAUAUAGUUGUUGAAGCAGCUCCAAUAACAGAAGAAAUCGGCCAUGUACCUGAAAUUGUAGGUAGUGGGCAAAUCAAGGAGGUUGUUGUAGGUGAAGAUCAUGUCUUUGAAAGCCCCAAUGGCCACAGUGAUGAAGAUGGUGGAAUUACUCAGAAUAAUCCAGAAGGCCCAGGGGAAGGUGCUUCUCUGGAACUUAUCAAAGUUAAACUGCUGGUUAAUAAGGAAGGUCGUUACGUCUGUGAAUUAUGCCACAAGACAUUUAAGACGGCCAGCAUUCUCAAGGCUCACAUGAUCACUCACAGCAGCAGGAAGGACUACGAGUGUAAAUUAUGUGGGACAUCUUUCAGGACCAAGGGCUCGCUGAUCCGACAUCAUCGUCGUCACACAGAUGAGCGUCCUUACAAGUGCAAGAAAUGUGGGAAAAGCUUCCGGGAAUCAGGAGCCUUGACUCGACAUUUGAAAUCCCUAACGCCAUGCACUGAGAAAAUCCGCUUCAAUAUGAACAAAGAAAUAGUUGUUAGCAAAGAGGACGUAGCCUCAGGGGCUAGCAACUCCAGCAGUGAAGCCAUCCCCUCGCUGGCAGCUCCGUCCGUGGAGACCUCCCCUGUAAUCCACCUGGUGACGGAUGCAAAAGGGAAUGUCCUCCAUGAGGUCCAUGUCCAGAUGCAGGAGCUCCCAGUCUCGGAAACCAAGGCAUUAGGACAAGAGUCGUCCAAUCUUGAGGAACUGUCCCCAGACCGAGAGGACAAUGAGAACUUACUGCGAGAAGCCAUGAGGAAUUCUGGAAUUGUGAUCGAGCGGGUUUCCAUAGAGGAGGGUGCCAAGUCCGAUGAAAACGGCAUAGCUGGAGCUGCUGAGGACUUAAAGGACAAAGAGGUGGAAACAUCUGAGAAAUUGUGUGAAGAGCAGUAUGUGGAAAUUGAGCACCUAGAAGCUCCAGAUCCCGAAGCGACCCAUGAAUGUAAGCGACACGCGUGCCCUUAUUGCAGCGAAACCUUCAAGGAGCAGAGUAGUCUCGACCUCCACAUCAGUGGACAUCUAGACUACAAGUCUUUUACAUGUGAGGAGUGUGGCAAAGAAUUCACCAAAGGAUACUUGCUGAAAAAGCAUCAGGAAGUGCAUGUGAACGAACGGCGGUUCCGUUGUGGGGAGUGUGGCAAGCUGUAUAAGACAAUUGCACAUGUGAAGGGGCACAGGCGAGUGCAUUCUGACGAGCGGCCGUAUCCUUGCCCCAAAUGCGGGAAGAGGUACAAGACCAAGAAUGCACAGCAGGUUCAUUUCCGAACGCACCUGGACGAAAAGCCAUUCGUCUGCCAGUUCUGUAACCAAGGCUUUCGGGAAAAGGGCUCUUUGGUGCGCCACAUCCGUCACCACACGGGCGAGAAGCCAUUCAAGUGUUACAAAUGCGGCCGUGGGUUUGCGGAGCAUGGCACCCUCAAUCGGCACCUGAGGACCAAAGGUGGCUGCCUCCUUGCCUUGAAAGAAGCUGAAGAAGCAGUGGGGUCAGAGGAGGGCCAGUCGGCUGACCGUUUGGCUGCGACGGUUAUUUCGGAAGAUCCCCCUACAGUCCUGGUGGAGUUUUCCUCAGUGGUGGCAGAUACACAGGAAUACAUAAUUGAGACAGCUGCUGAAGACCUGGAAACCAGCGAAGCUGCUGAGAUCAUCGAAGGAACCAGGCACGAGGUGGACAGUCAUAUAAUGAAAGUGGUUCAACAGAUAGUAAACCAAGCCAAUUCUGGCCACCAGAUAAUUGUCCAGAAUGUCACGGUGGCAGAUGACUCAACCAUGACAGCAGAGGGCGUGGACCCCGACACAAUUGCCAUAGCAACUCCGGAGAGCCUGACCGAGCAAGUCGCCAUGACCCUGGCUUCAGCGAUUGGGGAAGGGGCUGUGCUGACCACGGAGGGCGGGGGGGAGGUGGAGGAAGCCACCGUGACCAUGGUGGCAUCCGAAGACAUUGAGAUAAUGGAGCACACGGGGGAGUUUGUGAUCGCAGCCCACGAGGACGACGAUGACCUAGAAGUUCAGGCUGUGAUUGUCUAGGGCGCCCAGAGGGGAAGCUUUUCAGAGUGGCAGCCUGGCUGCACCCAGGUCCCAGGUCCAGUGACGUCGCCCCAAGAGCCCGUGGCCACAUGUUCUGGUCAGGGAGGGUACCUGGCCCUUCUGGGUGUGGCAACCUGUUGAAACCAGGCAGUUCUCGAGUAAAGCACUUUAGAGUAAAAAAAAGAAAAUUGUGUGCAGGGAUACUUAAUGACGUGGCAGUGAGAGGUUCCCACGUGUGGGAGGAAACUCGGCUUGCUUUUUUUUCAUAGGAAUGUGGGUUUUAUCAUUUUAGAAAACCAGCGGCUUUAUUUGUAUUGCCGGAAUACUCAGAAAGGCCACACUGUACAUUUUUGCAACCAUGUAGCUUUUAAUUAUCUAUUGUCUGAUUUAACUUGUAAAUAUUUUUUUAAACAAAACAAUUUUUUAUAUUAUUGUAUUCCGAUGUAAUUAAAGGAGAGUGCUGAAGGCUUCAAAUGUAUCAGUGGUUAUUUCUCUCCCAGGAAUGUCUUGUCGGUGUAGCAGGAAAAGGAAUUGUGCAAGAGGCCUCAAACAGAAAUUUAGCCCUUAUAAUUUAAGGAUGGGAGGGACCCAACCAUAGAAUUGGCUUCUUAGAAGUUUCAAAUACCCACAUAAUGCAGUUCAGGGCAUUGCAUAGUUCCAGUUCCCUGCAGAACUAGCUCUGGAGUGGGCCUUCCUGGUAAUUUGCAGCAGGAAAUGAAAUAGACGUAGGCCUCCACUCACCU